This is a long non-coding RNA of Mus musculus (house mouse), 427 nucleotides long. RefSeq annotates it as predicted gene, 33525. NCBI's taxonomy places the organism in Eukaryota, Metazoa, Chordata, Mammalia, Rodentia, Muridae. The transcript has 3 exons. The record is from RefSeq and is a predicted model, not a curated record.
ACAAACCCGAUGAUCUCUUUCUGAAUGAGGAGGGAAAUACUGGACCUGAGUUAUCAGAAGCCAGAAUAUCCUUCUUUCCAGCCAUUCUUAUUUUAUGUAUUUCGAAGAAUAAAUAAAAUUGCAGUUACAUAUUCAUAGACUAUAUCAGACAGGACUAAUUCAACUUUGCCUGGGAUCUCUAUUAUGUCAAAGAUCCUCAACAGCCAUGUGGCAGGAGGACCACUCAGAAGCUCAUGGACAAGCUAGUCUGUAGCAAAGAUGCAGAAAGAAGAUAGACUGUCUCAAAUUGGAAGUCAAGAACUAAUUCCUGAAACUGUCAUCAGACCUUCACACUUUCUGUGGAACACAUGCCUUCAUAUCCUUUCAAUGUAGCUGUGUGCAAACAUAUUUCCUCAUACUGAGUAUAAAUGCACUGUUUUUCUUUAUA